CCUACGGGAGGCAGCAGUGGGGAAUAUUGCACAAUGGGCGCAAGCCUGAUGCAGCGACGCCGCGUGAGGGAUGACGGCCUUCGGGUUGUAAACCUCUUUCAGUAGGGAAGAAGCGAAAGUGACGGUACCUGCAGAAGAAGCGCCGGCUAACUACGUGCCAGCAGCCGCGGUAAUACGUAGGGCGCAAGCGUUAUCCGGAAUUAUUGGGCGUAAAGAGCUCGUAGGCGGUUUGUCGCGUCUGCCGUGAAAGUCCGGGGCUCAACUCCGGAUCUGCGGUGGGUACGGGCAGACUAGAGUGAUGUAGGGGAGACUGGAAUUCCUGGUGUAGCGGUGAAAUGCGCAGAUAUCAGGAGGAACACCGAUGGCGAAGGCAGGUCUCUGGGCAUUAACUGACGCUGAGGAGCGAAAGCAUGGGGAGCGAACAGGAUUAGAUACCCUGGUAGUCCAUGCCGUAAACGUUGGGCACUAGGUGUGGGGGACAUUCCACGUUUUCCGCGCCGUAGCUAACGCAUUAAGUGCCCCGCCUGGGGAGUCGGCCGCAAGGCUAAACUCAAAGGAUUGACGGCUGNGAGNGCGACGACGACGACGAGGGAGGAGG
Molecule: ribosomal RNA, 598 nt
Filed under: uncultured bacterium
Lineage: Bacteria
Description: bacterial SSU rRNA
Rfam family: Bacterial small subunit ribosomal RNA
Source: RNAcentral